This 253-nucleotide ribosomal RNA is filed under the name uncultured bacterium. Its description in RNAcentral is "partial 16S ribosomal RNA". It matches the Rfam family "Bacterial small subunit ribosomal RNA", at positions 524 to 776 of the family's 1533-position model. The record is from RNAcentral.
UACGUAGGGUGCGAGCGUUGUCCGGAAUUAUUGGGCGUAAAGAGCUCGUAGGCGGUCCGUCGCGUCGAAUGUGAAAACCCGGGGCUCAACUCCGGGCUUGCAUUCGAUACGGGCGGACUAGAGUUCGGUAGGGGAGACUGGAAUUCCUGGUGUAGCGGUGAAAUGCGCAGAUAUCAGGAGGAACACCGGUGGCGAAGGCGGGUCUCUGGGCCGAUACUGACGCUGAGGAGCGAAAGCGUGGGGAGCGAACAGG